UACGUAGGGACCAAGCGUUGUUCGGAUUUACUGGGCGUAAAGGGCGCGUAGGCGGCGCGGUAAGUCACUUGUGAAAUCUCUGAGCUUAACUCAGAACGGCCAAGUGAUACUGCAGUGCUAGAGUGUGGAAGGGGCAAUCGGAAUUCUUGGUGUAGCGGUGAAAUGCGUAGAUAUCAAGAGGAACACCUGAGGUGAAGACGGGUUGCUGGGCCAACACUGACGCUGAUGCGCGAAAGCUAGGGGAGCGAACGGG
RNAcentral lists this ribosomal RNA (253 nucleotides) under uncultured bacterium. RNAcentral describes it as "partial 16S ribosomal RNA". It matches the Rfam family "Bacterial small subunit ribosomal RNA", at positions 524 to 776 of the family's 1533-position model. The record is from RNAcentral.